Molecule: long non-coding RNA, 3793 nt
Filed under: Equus caballus (horse)
Lineage: Eukaryota; Metazoa; Chordata; Mammalia; Perissodactyla; Equidae
Description: lncRNA (ENSECAG00000031294.3)
Source: RNAcentral
UGGGUGCAAAAUUUGGACACAGGGCUUGCCAUCUGUCCCUGUCACAGUAAAAUGUGCCUCUGCCUCCUACCCCUGUCCCCAUCCUCUGCUCUGGGCUGACAGUUUUUGAUCCUAAAUCAAAGCUGUUCGGAAGAAAAGUUAUCAGUAGAUACCCAGGAAAGGAUUUAGAAUCCUAAAACCUGAGGACUGGAAAUUGCCUCAAAGAUCAUCUAGUCUAGCCUCAUUUAUUAGAAGAGCAAUGUGAGGUGAGGUGACUCGUCCAGUGUCACACAGCUAGCUUCCUGUUUGUGUCUCAUUCCCUUGUUUCUUGCUGCUUCCAGUGGCUACUGAGAAAUCCAAAAUCCAGCUUCCAGGUGGGUAACUCCAGCAGAGGCUGGAAUACACUAGCUGCCUCUGGGGCUCCACCACUGAAGGAGCUGAGAAAUGGAAAAAUGAAGGUCCCCGUCUCAUAGGUCCAGUGCGAUUGAAUAACUUCUCUCACUUAGAACAGUGCUUGGCAUGUGGGGAGAGCUCAGGAAGAGUAUCCAUUGCUGCUAUUAAUCUCCCUUGACUGUUGCCAGAAGGCAAGUGAUACAUGGAAAGAGCUCUGAACUAGUAGAAGUUAAGAAAUUUCUAGUUCCCGCCAUGUGACUUGUGAUAAGUCAUUCACCUCAAAUCCUCAGUUUCCUCAGAUGAGGAUUUUAUGCAGCAGUGCUGGCUUAGCCAUAAAACUACAGGAGAGCUUCUCAAAGAGUAAUGUGCACACAAAUCACCUGGGGAUCUUGUCAAACUGCACAGACUCUUUCUGCAAAUCAGGUGUGGAACCCGAGAUCCGGCAUUUCUAACACGCUCCCAGGUGAUGCCAGUGCUGUUGGUCCAGGGCACCCCCAGCCCUUCUGAUGUGCCAUACAACGUAAGGAGAGCAUUCUGGUCAUCAGGCCGACAGCAGCCUCCAAGACCCUUAGGUUGUCUUCUUGACGCCAGCGGCAGCUUUCAUAAGGCAGUGCGGAGAAGUGACAUCUGCUCCUAAAGUUUCUGCAGAAAGGGGGUCUCUCUUCGUACCUAGUUUCAAGGUCUUACAUGUUCAUUAAGUUUAGCCUUCAGCCUCAGAGUAAUCUCACACUUUGCUCAAUACCGUUUUGCAGAUCUGGUGACUGCGAUGUCAGCAUUCUAAAGCCCCUCCCCUAACAGCUGGUUCCACUUCCUGGGCAGUUACGCCAUCAGGCUACGGUUGGGCCAGGUACCAGACGUUCCUCUUGGGAAGACAGGUGUGAUAUCAGGGGACAGGUGAGUGAUAAAUUCAGCUCUCAGGCUGGGAGCCAAAUCAUGUUUGAAACAGUUUCUGUCCACCUUACAAGCUUUGGUGUGGAUGGGGCAUGAGUGAAAGUAAGGGCAACAGCAAAAUCUAGCAUCACAGCCAGGAAAACCGUGAAUAACAGGAAAGAGACUUGAAAGUGAAGUGUGUUUGUGUUCUAAGAGAAUUGCAGAAACCUUAACAGGCCAACACAGCUGAGAGGACUUAACCGGCUCUAACUAAAAGUGGGCAGGUGAUUGGGUGUUUGAUACAUUCCUUUGGGAAUUUCUGGAGAGUCGGGAACUUAGAAGAGUUUGGUGUUUGAAAAUGUUUCUUUACCCGGAGGUGGGGUCCAGGGAUGGCCGUUAGGAAGCGUGACUUCAAGGUUUACUACCGGCUGCCGGGCUCCUCCUUUCUUCAGUCCAGUAGUGGGCAAAGGGUACAAAAAAAGGAUGUUUGGGCAGAGAAAUGAGAAUUGAAAACAAAGGAGACCACCAGGUAACUCCUGCUUUCAAGACUCAGCUCACCUGACAUCUCCCCACGCCCUGUGUCUGCCCCGCCGGACAGUGUUGUACUUAUUGAUUUGUCCCCUGAGGGCAGAGGCUCUGACUCCCAGGUACUCCCAGAUCCCAUCACAGGCCUGAUCCCAGUAAAUACUUGGUUAGGUGUUUGUGGAAUGAGAAAGAUGGACAGAAAAAGGAAAAGGCGGACGAAGGAAGAGGAAACCGAGGAGGAGGAAAGAAAAAGAAGGGAUUGAGCGAAGCUUUGGGAAGCCAGCUUUUCACAGUUCCAAGAACAGUUUCCAAAAUCCUUCUAACUCAGGUCCUAUUAAGCAGUCCGGCUUUCCAGCUUCCUUGAUUGCACAUGUGUAGCAAAACUCAAUGACAUCUGAGUCUGACUAAAAUGUAACCCUUUCCCGGGCAUCGGCUGUGGCCACUGGAGCUUAAAUACAGAAGACAUAGCUGUCUAGUCUCUAGCUUGGCAUUGAUUCCUUUCGUGUUUGAAGCCAGCUGAAAGACGAAGCAGGCAGGGCACAUGUCAGAACAGACGUUGUCCCCCCUCGCUCAGAACCAAGAGGCUGAUUCCUCAGCUGGCCACCUCCGAGGAGAGGAACGGAAGCCACAGGGCGGGGGGCUGGCUGACGCUGCAUUCCUCAAACCUACAGCCAGGGGAUUGUGUUAUUUCAGCCAUGCUUCGUUAGAUGGCAAAUAUGUGAGCGGCUUUAUGAGGAUCUGGGACAUUGUCGAGUCUUCGAGUUCACAGCUGAGCUGCUCCCACCCGAAUUAACCACUCCCGCCAGGCGCUGUUUGGGGUGCAGGCCGUGGGGGCACUCUGAUCCCUCAGCACCGCUAGGUUCCGAGGGUUGUCGAGACAAGAAAAAUCUCACUAAAGGCUACGCUUCUAAAAACCCUGGGCCAACUCUUACCCCAAACUUCUGGCUGCAAUGACAGUUAUACAACAGUUGCGCCAGGAGUGGCCUUGCCCCUCUGCCACCGCCAGCGGAGAGAGGGCGUCUCAGGUCUCACUCUCAUGGAGGACCAAAAACCGAAGUUUUGAAUGUCACUUUGCCAGUGGGAACACAAAAUGCGACUUCGGUCCAAAUAGUAACCUUUGGGCUAGCGUUUCUGCUCUUAUAAAUCUCAAACGUUGCUUGCUGUCUGCUUCGUGUCCCAGAUUCCUGCAUAAGUCUGUGGACUGCAUCAAAACACUUUUGAACAUAGAGACCGGGUGUGGUGACUUUGUAGGUUGUCUACUCAGCUGCAUUGAACUAAGUUUCCCAGAAUUCCCUUCCCUCCGUGGUUCCGGAUGACAUUUGGGAGGCCACUGUGAGGCAGCUGCUACUUUUAUGCUCUGAAGGUCUUGUGUAGGCACCAGGCACCCUGGCAGCUCUCAUCUCCUGUUAAGCAGCUGCUGGCCUACCUCUUGGCGUGGGGCUACAGCUCCUCCAGAACCUGGAACAGGUAUAUGGGCAACUCUGACAAAGGGCCCCAGCUGCUUCUGCAGGUCACUCACAUCCUGAAGGCUGGAGACGGCGAGACAUACAGACUUGGAUCCCCACCUUCUAUACCAGCGGUUCUCAGCCUCGGCUGCUGGUAGGAAUCACUUGCGGCCCAGGAUGCCCUUGAAGGAGGAAGGGGACAACCUUCUAAGUUUAAAGCAACUUAAGAAAACAGAGGAAGACGGACGUAUUUGCUACCUAAAAAUGUUAAAGCUUCCGAAAAUUAUUUUGCUAUUUAAUUAAGCAAGUUUUAUGUUUUAAUACCCAAAGCUGGUGAGAACAUGCUUCUCGUUCUUGCUAAUGACUGGGUAACUAGGUAUAAUCUCUUGGAAAAAACGAUCUAGUCAACUGUAUCCAGAGGCAUAAAGAUGUACAUACUAUUAUAUUGUAUCUACUUCUAGAAAUCUAUCCUAAGGAAGUAACUCAAAUACUGAAAUAAGCUGAGGUCCUCAAAAUGUUCUCUGGAGUAUUAUUUAUAACAGAAAUUAGAAAUAACCUAAAUAACCAAAAGGAGAAUAAAG